GGCAGAGUAGUUCAGCUGGUUAGAACGUUCGGCUCAUAUCCGGAAGGUCGGUGGUUCGAGUCCACCCUCUGCUACCA
This 77-nucleotide transfer RNA is filed under the name Methanobacteriota archaeon. Its description in RNAcentral is "Euryarchaeota archaeon tRNA-Met". It matches the Rfam family "tRNA". From Rfam's summary of the family: Transfer RNA (tRNA) molecules are approximately 80 nucleotides in length. Their secondary structure includes four short double-helical elements and three loops (D, anti-codon, and T loops). The record is from RNAcentral. Lineage: Archaea; Methanobacteriati; Methanobacteriota.